RNAcentral lists this transfer RNA (72 nucleotides) under Candidatus Pacearchaeota archaeon. Its description in RNAcentral is "tRNA-Gly". It matches the Rfam family "tRNA". Rfam says of the family: Transfer RNA (tRNA) molecules are approximately 80 nucleotides in length. Their secondary structure includes four short double-helical elements and three loops (D, anti-codon, and T loops). The record is from RNAcentral. Lineage: Archaea; Nanobdellati.
GCGCCGUUGGUCUAGUGGUUAGGAUUCGAGCUUCCCAAGCUCGCGGGGCGGGUUCGAUUCCCGCACGGCGCA